ACCAUGGACGAACGGAACGGAAUAAUGUUUUCAUUUUCCAUCACGUACUAAGGAAUAUGACGAGCAAAAAUGGUCUUUCAAAAAAAUUGAAUAUCCAUCGGUAGUUAAGCGGCCAAAGCAGUUUGUUUACAAACUAGUCGUUCCAGCUCCAUAUUGAAAUUGUAUCUGGAGCUGGCUCCAGAUUCGCCAAUCUGGAGCUGCCAAUAUGGAGCUGUCUGGCUUGUCAUCAAAUUCCGACUUCCGAGCUACAACCUUAAUUGAAAUAGCUGUAUGUGGUCGAAUUGCAAUGUAAAGUGAUAAAGAAAGAAUAAGGGCAAAGAGAAAAACACUCUGCAUUGAUUCUUACAGGCAUGCUUCAGGAAAUAUACUUUCAAAAAUGACAGAACUCUGGCUAGGGCCCC
Non-coding RNA from Paramuricea clavata, 401 nucleotides. The record is from the annotation of a GenBank genome assembly. Lineage: Eukaryota; Metazoa; Cnidaria; Anthozoa; Malacalcyonacea; Plexauridae.